CGACGUGGAUAACCUGCCUCACACAGGGGGAUAACAGUUAGAAAUGACUGCUAAUACCGCAUAAGCGCACGGCAUCGCAUGAUGCAGUGUGAAAAACUCCGGUGGUGUGAGAUGGAUCCGCGUCUGAUUAGGUAGUUGGUGGGGUAACGGCCUACCAAGCCGACGAUCAGUAGCCGACCUGAGAGGGUGACCGGCCACAUUGGGACUGAGACACGGCCCAA
This 221-nucleotide ribosomal RNA is filed under the name uncultured bacterium. RNAcentral's name for it is "partial 16S ribosomal RNA". It matches the Rfam family "Bacterial small subunit ribosomal RNA", at positions 113 to 334 of the family's 1533-position model. The record is from RNAcentral.